ACGGGUGAGUAACGCGUGAGAAUUUACCUUUAGGAAGAGAAUACCAGUUAGAAAUAACUGUUAAAACUCUAUAUGCCUUUUCGGUGAAAAAAGAAAUUUGCCUAAAGAAAAGCUCGCGUCUGAUUAGUUAGUUGGUGGGGUAAAGGCCUACCAAGACGAUGAUCAGUAGCUGGUCUGAGAGGAUGAUCAGCCACACUGGAACUGAGAUACGGUCCAGACUCUUAAGGGAGGCAGCAGUGGGGAAUUUUUUGCAAUGAGCGAAAGCUUGACAAAGCAAUACCGCGUGAGGGAUGAAGGCUUAUGAGUUGUAAACCUCUUUUCUCAAGGAGGAAGCUAUGACGUUACUUGAGGAAUAAGCAUCGGCUAACCCUGUGCCAGCAGCCGCGG
This 387-nucleotide ribosomal RNA is filed under the name uncultured bacterium. RNAcentral's name for it is "bacterial SSU rRNA". It matches the Rfam family "Bacterial small subunit ribosomal RNA", at positions 102 to 520 of the family's 1533-position model. The record is from RNAcentral.